UCAAAAGGUUACAAGCGCUCUUAAUCGCUUCGUUCUUUCAAUACAAGAAAAUUGAAAACAAGACUAAUUUUUAACUAAAAAAUGUUUCACUUAAAAAUUAUUUGCGCGUCCGUUCUGCUGAUUUUUUUCUUUUCGUCUGUUAGCUCUCAAAAAAAUGAGUUCGAAAAGCAAGUGAAGCUUUUUAAUCGCAUCCGUUGGUUUCAAUCGCCUGGACAGGUAGAAAAUACAAGAUACGAAGACUUUGCGAUAAGAAAGUUAAAAAAACACGAUAAGAAUGUUUAUGUUGGUGAAGUUUAUUCUAAUACUCAUGGAUUUAUUGCUAAAAUUUACGUUCAAUAUCCGGAUCUACCAUGGAAUCAAGUUGGAGAAUCAUUUAGAUCCUUAAUUCUCGAUGAAACGACAAAUUAUGUAAGAUGUAUUGCAGGUCAAGUUUUUAAAAGCUUAGAGGAUGAUGGAGAAUCGUGCAAAUUUAUCAUAGUAGGUCUUGCUGAAACUGAAUUUCCAAGAGCAAUUGUCCCAACACCACCAUCUGGUUACACAGUAAUAAACACAGCAAUAAAUCGCAGAAGAUAAUAUCUAUUAGAUAUCAAUAUUUACCAGCAAAUUUCCAAUAUAAUGUGUAAAUAUAGCAAAAAUGCAUGUAUUACUGCAGUAAAUAACGGGCAAACAAUUUUUGUUAUCUUCUGAAUUUACUUGUCCACGUCAAAUAAAUGGUCACCAAAAAGACCAAAAAAAUUUAAAAUAA
Contarinia nasturtii (swede midge) is the source of this 745-nucleotide long non-coding RNA. RefSeq lists it as uncharacterized. The record is from RefSeq and is a predicted model, not a curated record. NCBI's taxonomy places the organism in Eukaryota, Metazoa, Arthropoda, Insecta, Diptera, Cecidomyiidae. The transcript has 2 exons.